AAAAGAUUAAGUUAAUAAGGGCGCACGGUGAAUGCCUUGGCACUAGGAGCCGAUGAAGGACGGGACGAACACCGAU
Molecule: ribosomal RNA, 76 nt
Filed under: Bacillus sp. VT-16-64
Lineage: Bacteria; Bacillati; Bacillota; Bacilli; Caryophanales; Bacillaceae
Description: partial 23S ribosomal RNA
Source: RNAcentral